UUUUCAACUCUCAUUGUUCUCCAAAGACUCGUCUGACUUAUCAAGUAACCCUUGUGGCGUCAACCCGUCUUUCUAUCUGAACUUAUCACUUUAAUCCCAAAAGUGUGGCGUUCGAUUCGUACUGAGGUUCCUAUCAUUUUUGAUAGCGGGUCAAAGUUUCUAUCCACUUAACAAACCUUCCAUCAACACCCUACCAACCUAAGCAUUCUCCUAAGUUACGGGUUAACACACUCCUAUUGUGUUAGUUCGGCUUUUGAAUACUUAGCCCAAACUUCAUCCAUUGAUUUAUGUUUCAUUUCCUAAACCAACAAAACUUUAUUGAGCCUAAAUAAUUCCUUUUCUUCUAGCCUAUUUUGUAAAGCUUUCAAAUUACUCCAAUUCACGAUCGGGCACAACAACGACUCAGAUUCAUUAACCGGGCCGGAUCGUAUCAUUUGGUAUCAGAGCUAGCUGAAUCGGAGUAAGAUCGAC
RNAcentral lists this long non-coding RNA (471 nucleotides) under Gossypium barbadense (sea-island cotton). RNAcentral's name for it is "long non-coding RNA (GBAR_LNC020057)". Lineage: Eukaryota; Viridiplantae; Streptophyta; Magnoliopsida; Malvales; Malvaceae. The record is from RNAcentral.